GCGGUGGUAGUUCAGCGGUAGAAUGUCUCCCUUCCAAGGAGAAGGUCGCCGGUUCGAAUCCGGUCCACCGCU
Molecule: transfer RNA, 72 nt
Filed under: Microgenomates group bacterium
Lineage: Bacteria
Description: tRNA-Gly
Rfam family: tRNA
About the family: Transfer RNA (tRNA) molecules are approximately 80 nucleotides in length. Their secondary structure includes four short double-helical elements and three loops (D, anti-codon, and T loops). Further hydrogen bonds mediate the characteristic L-shaped molecular structure. tRNAs have two regions of fundamental functional importance: the anti-codon, which is responsible for specific mRNA codon recognition, and the 3' end, to which the tRNAs corresponding amino acid is attached (by aminoacyl-tRNA synthetases). tRNAs cope with the degeneracy of the genetic code in two manners: having more than one tRNA (with a specific anti-codon) for a particular amino acid; and 'wobble' base-pairing, i.e. permitting non-standard base-pairing at the 3rd anti-codon position.
Source: RNAcentral